AGGUAACUAGAAAACAAAUGAAAAUGAAGAGUCCUUAAUUUUCAUUUGUUUUCUAGUUACCUCU
RNAcentral lists this microRNA precursor (64 nucleotides) under Homo sapiens (human). RNAcentral's name for it is "miAB13_pre". Lineage: Eukaryota; Metazoa; Chordata; Mammalia; Primates; Hominidae. The record is from RNAcentral.